GUCGAGCGGGCAUCCUUCGGGAUGUUAGCUGGCGGACGGGUGAGUAACGCGUGGGAACGUGCCCUUUGCUACGGAAUAGCCUCGGGAAACUGAGAGUAAUACCGUAUGUGCCCUUCGGGGGAAAGAUUUAUCGGCAAAGGAUCGGCCCGCGUUGGAUUAGGUAGUUGGUGGGGUAAUGGCCUACCAAGCCGACGAUCCAUAGCUGGUUUGAGAGGAUGAUCAGCCACACCGGGACUGAGACACGGCCCAGACUCCUACGGGAGGCAGCAGUGGGGAAUCUUAGACAAUGGGGGAAACCCUGAUCUAGCCAUGCCGCGUGAGCGAUGAAGGCCUUAGGGUUGUAAAGCUCUUUCAGUGGGGAAGAUAAUGACGGUACCCACAGAAGAAGCCCCGGCUAACUCCGUGCC
RNAcentral lists this ribosomal RNA (407 nucleotides) under uncultured Rhodobacter sp. RNAcentral describes it as "bacterial SSU rRNA". It matches the Rfam family "Bacterial small subunit ribosomal RNA", at positions 61 to 509 of the family's 1533-position model. The record is from RNAcentral. Lineage: Bacteria; Pseudomonadati; Pseudomonadota; Alphaproteobacteria; Rhodobacterales.